This 556-nucleotide long non-coding RNA is filed under the name Homo sapiens (human). RNAcentral describes it as "non-protein coding lnc-ITPK1-2:2". The record is from RNAcentral. Lineage: Eukaryota; Metazoa; Chordata; Mammalia; Primates; Hominidae.
CACAGCAGUGCCGACGUCGUGGGUGUUUGGUGUGAGGCUGCGAGCCGCCGCGAGUUCUCACGGUCCCGCCGGCGCCACCACCGCGGUCACUCACCGCCGCCGCCGCCACCACUGCCACCACGGUCGCCUGCCACAGGUGUCUGCAAUUGAACUCCAAGGUGCAGAAUGGUUUGGAAAGUAGCUGUAUUCCUCAGUGUGGCCCUGGGCAUUGGUGCCGUUCCUAUAGAUGAUCCUGAAGAUGGAGGCAAGCACUGGGUGGUGAUCGUGGCAGGUUCAAAUGGCUGGUAUAAUUAUAGGCACCAGGUAAGAAAAUGACUAAUCUUUUUUUUGUUAAGGACACUGGCAUUCUGAAAACAAUUCCAGACACUGUUAAUAUUAAAUAGAAAAGACUUGAAAAGCCAUUGACGGACCUGUUAGGCUGGCUGUAACAUAGGUGUGUUAGCGAGGAUGUGGGGAAAUCAGAACCCUCAUAUGUUGCCAGGAGGAUUAUAAGAUGGUGUAGCCAUUUUGGAAAACAGUUUGGUCAUUCCUCAGAAGUUUUGAUAGGGCCAUCUUA